This 253-nucleotide ribosomal RNA is filed under the name uncultured bacterium. RNAcentral's name for it is "partial 16S ribosomal RNA". It matches the Rfam family "Bacterial small subunit ribosomal RNA", at positions 524 to 776 of the family's 1533-position model. The record is from RNAcentral.
UACGUAGGCAGCGAGCGUUGUUCAGAAUUACUGGGCGUAAAGAGUGUGUAGGCGGUGCUCCCAGUCUGUUGUGAAAUCUCCCGGCUUAACUGGGAGGGUGCAGCGGAAACUAGAGUGCUAGAGGGUGGGAGAGGUAAGCGGAAUUCCUGGUGUAGCGGUGAAAUGCGUAGAUAUCAGGAGGAACACCUGUGGUGUAGACAGCUUACUGGACCACUUCUGACGCUGAGACACGAAAGCGUGGGUAGCAAACAGG